Molecule: ribosomal RNA, 106 nt
Filed under: uncultured bacterium
Lineage: Bacteria
Description: partial 16S ribosomal RNA
Rfam family: Bacterial small subunit ribosomal RNA
Source: RNAcentral
CCUUGUACACACCGCCCGUCACACCAUGGGAGUUGGCUCUACCCGAAGCCGGUGGGCGAACCCGCAAGGGGCGCAGCCGUCCACGGUCGGGUCAGCGACUGGGGUG